UACGGGGGGGACUAGCGUUGUUCGGAAUUACUGGGCGUAAAGCGCACGUAGGCGGCUUUGUAAGUCAGGGGUGAAAUCCCGGGGCUCAACCUCGGAACUGCCUUUGAUACUGCGAAUCUCGAGUCCGGAAGAGGUGAGUGGAAUUCCUAGUGUAGAGGUGAAAUUCGUAGAUAUUAGGAAGAACACCAGUGGCGAAGGCGGCUCACUGGUCCGGUACUGACGCUGAGGUGCGAAAGCGUGGGGAGCAAACAGG
This 253-nucleotide ribosomal RNA is filed under the name uncultured bacterium. Its description in RNAcentral is "partial 16S ribosomal RNA". It matches the Rfam family "Bacterial small subunit ribosomal RNA", at positions 524 to 776 of the family's 1533-position model. The record is from RNAcentral.